UGAUGAAAAUAAGAAAGGAUGUUUUUCAU
This 29-nucleotide non-coding RNA is filed under the name Rattus norvegicus (Norway rat). The record is from RNAcentral. Lineage: Eukaryota; Metazoa; Chordata; Mammalia; Rodentia; Muridae.